This 879-nucleotide ribosomal RNA is filed under the name Triticum aestivum (bread wheat). RNAcentral describes it as "partial small subunit ribosomal RNA". Lineage: Eukaryota; Viridiplantae; Streptophyta; Magnoliopsida; Poales; Poaceae. The record is from RNAcentral.
AUGCAACUUAAUUUCAAGCUCCUUCACGCUUUCAUGUGCGGCAUGCGGCAAAUUCAUGUCUUGCCAAGAGCAGUACCCAACAACAGUCGGUUGUUUGGAGGAGGAUCACGUUGGCAUUCUUCGUCGUCCAAGCCACCCCGCCCUCGCCGCAUCCUCACGAACGUGCUCUUUGCUGCGUCCUUCUCCGCUGCUGGCCUUCUCAUCGAUGACACAUCAUCGGAGGAUAAGCAGAAAUCGCCGCCCAUGGGCCCAAUCGAUAGUGGAAGCAACAAGAAGAAGACUCACAAGAGGGACUGCACCAACGCUCUUCUCGCCAUCAAUGUCAUGGUUUACGUCGUGGAUGUAGCGGCAAGAGGGAGGCUUUCUCUAUGCGGAGCUAUGGUAAAUAGUCUCGCUUUGCAUGAUAUUGGGCCUAUGGUGGAAGAGGUCACUGGCCCUGCAAGAUUUCUAACUAUUUAUUUCACUUCGGCACUGGCAGGUUCACUCAUGAGUUACUGUGCUGGCAUCAAAUCUUCUGUUGGUGCGUCCGCUGCUAUUUGUGGAUUGAUUGGUGCACAAGCUGUUUAUAUGUGGAGGCAUCGAAACCAUUUGGAGAAAGCAAAUAUAACUUUAGGGCGAAUUGCAUUUGAUGUUGUAAUCAAUGUGGGCGUUGGCCUCUAUGUAAUGAAACGCAUAGACAACUGGGGUCAUUUAGGAGGCUUGCUUGCGGGAGUGGUUGUUGAAUGUUUUGUCGGUCCACAUUGGAAGAAGCUAGGUGUUACAGAGGAUAGAACGAAGGUGAUCCAAGACACGGCACCUCUUGCUCGGCUAACCAAUGGUGGUAUAAGACCACAAAAAACAGUCUUUACUGAGACAGAAGAAGGGUUGUUCGCAAAGUGA